RNAcentral lists this small RNA (92 nucleotides) under Camellia sinensis. RNAcentral describes it as "transcribed RNA". The record is from RNAcentral. Lineage: Eukaryota; Viridiplantae; Streptophyta; Magnoliopsida; Ericales; Theaceae.
AUAGUCUAGGUGACGCAGAUCCAAGAUGGAAAAGUAUAGCCUAGGUGGAGCAAAACAUAGCCUAGGUGGAGCAGAUCCCAGGUGGAAGAGCA